This 253-nucleotide ribosomal RNA is filed under the name uncultured bacterium. RNAcentral's name for it is "partial 16S ribosomal RNA". It matches the Rfam family "Bacterial small subunit ribosomal RNA", at positions 524 to 776 of the family's 1533-position model. The record is from RNAcentral.
GACGUAGGAGGCAAGCGUUAUCCGGAGUGACUGGGCGUAAAGAGCGUGUAGGCGGGUGAGUAGGUUGCGUGUGAACGCGCCCGGCUAAACUGGGCGAGGGCAGGGAAGACUGCUGAGCUAGAAGGCGAUAGAGGGGUGCGGAAUUCCGGGUGUAGCGGCGAAAUGUGUAGAGAUCCGGGGGAACACCAGAGGUGCAGACGGCGCCCUGGAUCGGACCUGACGCUGAGACGCGAAAGCGUGGGGAGCGAACGGG